This 73-nucleotide transfer RNA is filed under the name Acropora cervicornis. RNAcentral describes it as "tRNA-Ala". It matches the Rfam family "tRNA". Rfam says of the family: Transfer RNA (tRNA) molecules are approximately 80 nucleotides in length. Their secondary structure includes four short double-helical elements and three loops (D, anti-codon, and T loops). The record is from RNAcentral. Lineage: Eukaryota; Metazoa; Cnidaria; Anthozoa; Scleractinia; Acroporidae.
GGCCUGAUCGCUCAACUGGUAGAACACUGCAACAGCAUUGCAGAGGUCAGGGUUCAAUUCCCCAUUCAGGCCU